This 559-nucleotide ribosomal RNA is filed under the name uncultured bacterium. Its description in RNAcentral is "bacterial SSU rRNA". It matches the Rfam family "Bacterial small subunit ribosomal RNA", at positions 337 to 888 of the family's 1533-position model. The record is from RNAcentral.
UCCUACGGGAGGCAGCAGUAGGGAAUCUUCCGCAAUGGACGAAAGUCUGGGGGAGCAACGCCGCGUGAGUGAAGAAGGCCUUCGGGUCGUAAAAGUCUGUUGCCGGGGAAGAACAAGUGCCGUUCGAACAGGGCGGCGCCUUGACGGUACCCGGCCGAAAAACCCCGGCUAACUUUGUGCCAGCAGCCGCGGUUAAUAGUAGGUGGCAAGCGUUGUCUGGAAUUAUUGGGCGUAAAGCGCGCGCAGGCGGGUUUUUAAAUUUGAUGUGAAAUUCCCCGGCUCAACCGCAAGCGGUCAUUGGAAACUGGGAGGCUUGAGUGCAGAAGAGGAGAGUGGAAUUUCCCGUGUAGCGGUGAAAUGCGUAGAGAUGUGGAGGAACACCAGUGGCGAAGGCGGCUCUCUGGUCUGUAACUGACGCUGAGGCGCGAAAGCGUGGGGAGCAAACAGGAUUAGAUACCCUGGUAGUCCACGCCGUAAACGAUGAGUGCUAAGGUUAGAGGGUUUCCUCCCUUCAGUGCCGCAGUAACGCAUUAAGCACUCCGCCUGGAGACGCAAGGNG